This 300-nucleotide ribosomal RNA is filed under the name Triticum aestivum (bread wheat). Its description in RNAcentral is "partial small subunit ribosomal RNA". The record is from RNAcentral. Lineage: Eukaryota; Viridiplantae; Streptophyta; Magnoliopsida; Poales; Poaceae.
AUGUGCUUUCCGCCAAGCCAAAGCUUGGAACCUACAACUACAAAAAAGAGAAAACAUGAUAACUCAAUUAUUGGAGCAUCAAAAAGCCAAAGGUUGGAGAAAACAACUAAGAAAAAAGGGAAAGAGAGUAAAUCUGGAUCUGGAGUAGCAAAAAGAGCAAGAACUCAACCCGUUUGUGUGGCCAACAAGAAAACAUCUGUUGUUGUGAAGGUACAUGCCAAAAGAAAAAGCAAAGAGGUUCCUGAUAAGUUGCCAUGCCUUCCUAUGGUGCCACAUGAUAGCCUUGCAAUGGGCACAUGA